This 485-nucleotide ribosomal RNA is filed under the name Cronobacter dublinensis. Its description in RNAcentral is "partial 23S ribosomal RNA". It matches the Rfam family "Bacterial large subunit ribosomal RNA", at positions 711 to 1194 of the family's 2925-position model. The record is from RNAcentral. Lineage: Bacteria; Pseudomonadati; Pseudomonadota; Gammaproteobacteria; Enterobacterales; Enterobacteriaceae.
AGACCCGAAACCCGGUGAUCUAGCCAUGGGCAGGUUGAAGGUUGGGUAACACUAACUGGAGGACCGAACCGACUAAUGUUGAAAAAUUAGCGGAUGACCUGUGGCUGGGGGUGAAAGGCCAAUCAAACCGGGAGAUAGCUGGUUCUCCCCGAAAGCUAUUUAGGUAGCGCCUCGUGAACUCAUCUUCGGGGGUAGAGCACUGUUUCGGCUAGGGGGCCAUCCCGGCUUACCAACCCGAUGCAAACUACGAAUACCGAAGAAUGUUAUCACGGGAGACACACGGCGGGUGCUAACGUCCGUCGUGAAGAGGGAAACAACCCAGACCGCCAGCUAAGGUCCCAAAGUCAUGGUUAAGUGGGAAACGAUGUGGGAAGGCACAGACAGCCAGGAUGUUGGCUUAGAAGCAGCCAUCAUUUAAAGAAAGCGUAAUAGCUCACUGGUCGAGUCGGCCUGCGCGGAAGAUGUAACGGGGCUAAACCAUGCAC